This is a long non-coding RNA of Rosa chinensis, 2143 nucleotides long. RefSeq lists it as uncharacterized. Lineage: Eukaryota; Viridiplantae; Streptophyta; Magnoliopsida; Rosales; Rosaceae. The record is from RefSeq and is a predicted model, not a curated record. The transcript has 6 exons.
UACAGAAAAUGCUUCACACGACACAUCUCAUACGACGGUAGACUGUUUUCCGUGGUGUGAAUCAUUUCUCAUUAUUGAGACGACGGUUGUAAAAUUUCCGUCUUCUAAUAUGAAUUCAACCAACGGGUGUUUUUAAUGCUGAAAUUGUAUAUUGUUUCAGAAGACGUUUAUAAAUGGAAGCGUGGUGUGAGUUUAAAAUGGUUUUAGGGGUAGCAAGUUUCCCACCACUUAAAUUUUCUUAGCAUGUAGUGGCGAUACAACAGUUAGUUUAAAACCGUGGUAUGAAUCCAUAGAUUUGCAAGUGCAACCAUGUCCACCGACAUUCCCUCCAACAUUUCCCGCAUUCUCUCCCCCAAAAUUCGAUUCCCUCUCAGCAGGCAACAAGAGGCGGCAAAACUGAAAAUUUUUAAGUGACAUUCAGACAACAGAUAUAUGGAAAACCAUGGUCUGAUGCCUGCAUGAUAAAAUUAAUGGCUUAUGUGGCUAUGUGUCCUAGCGCUGGACAACUACACAAUAGCAUCUAUUCAUACCAAACUAUUAGAACACUUUAGAAAAGACCAAACUAAUGCCCACAGCUAUACCCCGACACGGCAUUUCUCCACACAGCUGACCCCGACUCUCUCUCUGACUCUCUCGCUCUUCAACUCCACAGCUGACCCCGACUCUCGCUCUUCGACUCCACAGCUGACCCCGACUCUCUCUCUGACUCUCUCGCUCUUCGACUCUCACUCUGGCUCACUCCACAGCUACCCCGACUCACUCCACAAUCCUAAACCCUAAAUCCACCGCCUGCAAGGUGAAGCCUUCGAAGCCCCAAAUCGGAGAUUUCUCUUAGAAUCCGAUUGGGAUCUUAUUUUGACGUGGAUUCACAUCGGAGCAGCCUUAGACUUGGAUUCACACCGGAGCCCUAAACAAUUUCGUCAUCUUGAACUUCGAUUCACACCUUUGAUUCGAUUUGUCUCGAACCUGCUCAAGCUCCUCCUCCAACUCCAGCUCUCUCCGAAGCCUCGACGACUCCGACGACUUUGAAGAUGACCUUAAUUGAUUCGAGCAAGGUGAAGAGUGAUACAUCAGCUUUGGAAGCUAGAAAUGGAAAAGACAUACAGGGAGUGAUACAUCAGCUUUUCAUUAUGACGAGAUUAAGAACAAGGAAGGUCUUGGUGAACAAUGAGAAUGAGUAUCUUCAAAAGAUGAAUGCAAAUUCUGGCCUAUUGUAGUCCAAAGACAAGCUGAAAGAAUGAGGUACAUGUUUUGAUUGUUGUUAUUUCUAUCUCUGCUACUGGUUUAUGUUUCUUUGUAAUGCAUUGAACUUUAAUCUUCUUGUAUAUACAAAUAUAUAUAUAUAUAUGCAUACUUGUAUGAGUAUCUUUUGAGCUAUAGUCUUAUGCGUUCACACUUCUGUGUUCAUAGAACUGCUGAUUUAAUAGCCUUGUGGUCUAUAUUUUUGAUCAGGCAGAAAUGUGGUUCAGCAAACUUUGCUUUAAGUUGGAUUCUCUUUCUCAUUUCCACUUCAGUCCAAAACCUGUUCUUAAUCAUAAGUUUUAUCUAUGUUUACGAAAGUUAAUUUCUCUCUUUGGUAUUUACUUGUUAUCUGCUAUCUAUGGGAUUGGUUACUGAGGAAAGGCAGCAAUUGCUAAUCUCCAUCACUUUCAUAUAUUGUGGUCCAGCAAGCCUAAAGCUUCAGGGCUUCAUUCUUGUGCACAAAGGCAGCAGCUGCUAAUCUCCCCCGCUUCCAUAGACUCUAGUUUAGCUAGCCCAAAGCAGCCUAUAUAUAUAUUUUGUUGGUUUUUUUUAAAAAAAAAACUGAAAAAACUUUCAUGGCGUUUUGUAAACGUCAUUAAAUUUAAUUCAAUGGCAUUUCUGAAACGUCAUUGAAAAUAUUUUAAUGACGUUUAAUAAUGGCAUCAAGCUGGGAUGUUUCCACUGGAUCCUUUCUGGUAGAUGUGUGAAGGCUGCCCUUCAGCCAUUUCUUUUGGUCACUGACUGUUACUACUUACUUCUGUAACUGGUCCUUGUGUUUUGCUUUUGCUUGUAAUUAUAUUGUUUCUGCCGUCUCUUAAAUAUAAUUAUAUUGCUCUGUUUAUUUCAGCUUUUAAGCAGGGUGGAGUUAGAGCUACUGGUGUGACUUUGGUUAUAUGGUAUG